CCUGGCUCACGAUGAACGCUGGCGGCGCGCCUAACACAUGCAAGUCGAACGAUAGAGAGGGAGCUUGCUUCCUUGAUCGAGUGGCGAACGGGUGAGUAACGCGUGAGGAACCUGCCUCAAAGAGGGGGACAACAGUUGGAAACGACUGCUAAUACCGCAUAAGCCCACGACCCGGCAUCGGGAAGAGGGAAAAGGAGCAAUCCGCUUUGAGAUGGCCUCGCGUCCGAUUAGCUAGUUGGUGAGGUAACGGCCCACCAAGGCGACGAUCGGUAGCCGGACUGAGAGGUUGAACGGCCACAUUGGGACUGAGACACGGCCCAGACUCCUACGGGAGGCAGCAGUGGGGAAUAUUGCACAAUGGGGGAAACCCUGAUGCAGCGACGCCGCGUGGAGGAAGAAGGUCUUCGGAUUGUAAACUCCUGUUGUUGAGGAAGAUAAUGACGGUACUCAACAAGGAAGUGACGGCUAACUACGUGCCAGCAGCCGCGGUAAAACGUAGGUCACAAGCGUUGUCCGGAAUUACUGGGUGUAAAGGGAGCGCAGGCGGGCGAUCAAGUUGGAAGUGAAAUCCAUGGGCUCAACCCAUGAACUGCUUUCAAAACUGGUCGUCUUGAGUAGUGCAGAGGUAGGCGGAAUUCCCGGUGUAGCGGUGGAAUGCGUAGAUAUCGGGAGGAACACCAGUGGCGAAGGCGGCCUACUGGGCACCAACUGACGCUGAGGCUCGAAAGUGUGGGUAGCAAACAGGAUUAGAUACCCUGGUAGUCCACACCGUAAACGAUGAUUACUAGGUGUUGGGAGAUUGACCCUCUCAGUGCCGCAGUUAACACAAUAAGUAAUCCACCUGGGGAGUACGACCGCAAGGUUGAAACUCAAAGGAAUUGACGGGGGCCCGCACAAGCAGUGGAGUAUGUGGUUUAAUUCGACGCAACGCGAAGAACCUUACCAAGUCUUGACAUCCUCUGACGAACGUAGAAAUACGUUUUCUCUUCGGAGCAGAGAGACAGGUGGUGCAUGGUUGUCGUCAGCUCGUGUCGUGAGAUGUUGGGUUAAGUCCCGCAACGAGCGCAACCCUUAUGGUCAGUUACUACGCAAGAGGACUCUGGCCAGACUGCCGUUGACAAAACGGAGGAAGGUGGGGAUGACGUCAAAUCAUCAUGCCCUUUAUGACUUGGGCUACACACGUACUACAAUGGCGUUAAACAAAGAGAAGCAAGACC
Molecule: ribosomal RNA, 1217 nt
Filed under: uncultured bacterium
Lineage: Bacteria
Description: bacterial SSU rRNA
Rfam family: Bacterial small subunit ribosomal RNA
Source: RNAcentral